This 253-nucleotide ribosomal RNA is filed under the name uncultured bacterium. Its description in RNAcentral is "partial 16S ribosomal RNA". It matches the Rfam family "Bacterial small subunit ribosomal RNA", at positions 524 to 776 of the family's 1533-position model. The record is from RNAcentral.
UACGUAGGGGGCGAGCGUUGUCCGGAUUUAUUGGGCGUAAAGAGCGUGUAGGCGGUUCGGUAAGUCUGUCGUGAAAUCCUGAGGCUCAACCUCGGGCGUGCGAUGGAUACUGCCGGGCUAGAGGAUGGUAGAGGCGAGUGGAAUUCCCGGUGUAGCGGUGAAAUGCGCAGAUAUCAGGAAGAACACCUAUGGCGAAGGCAGCACUCUGGGACGGUACUGACGCUGAGACGCGAAAGCGUGGGGAGCGAACAGG